UGACGAGUGUUCUCAAAACAGCCACAACUGCAGCAAUAUAACUGCCACUUGUAAUAAUACCAAAGGGUCGUUCAAGUGUAUUUGUAAACCAGGAUUCAGUGGUGACGGAUACAGCUGCACAGACAUUGACGAGUGUGCCGAAAAUAUCCACAAUUGUAGCAAGAGCAACGCCACUUGUACUAAUAGCAAGGGAUCGUUUAAUUGCUCUUGCAAGACUGGUUUGAGAGGGGAUGGAUACAACUGCUCAGACAUCGACGAAUGUGCCGAAAAUAUCCACAAUUGUAGCAAGAUCAACGCCACCUGUACCAACGGCAAGGGAUCAUUCAACUGUUCUUGUAAUCCUGGUUUCAAAGGGGAUGGAUACAACU
Stylophora pistillata is the source of this 368-nucleotide long non-coding RNA. The record is from RefSeq and is a predicted model, not a curated record. NCBI's taxonomy places the organism in Eukaryota, Metazoa, Cnidaria, Anthozoa, Scleractinia, Pocilloporidae.